Molecule: ribosomal RNA, 254 nt
Filed under: uncultured bacterium
Lineage: Bacteria
Description: partial 16S ribosomal RNA
Rfam family: Bacterial small subunit ribosomal RNA
Source: RNAcentral
UACAGAGGGGGCAAGCGUUGUUCGGAAUUACUGGGCGUAAAGGGCGCGUAGGCGGCCCGCUAAGUCGAACGUGAAAUCCCCGGGCUUAACCUGGGAACUGCAUUGGUGACUGGCAGGCUUUGAGUGUGGCAGAGGGAGGUAGAAUUCCACGUGUAGCAGUGAAAUGCGUAGAGAUGUGGAGGAAUACCGAUGGCGAAGGCAGCCUCCUGGGCCAACACUGACGCUCAUGCACGAAAGCGUGGGGAGCAAACAGG